This 418-nucleotide ribosomal RNA is filed under the name uncultured bacterium. RNAcentral's name for it is "partial 16S ribosomal RNA". It matches the Rfam family "Bacterial small subunit ribosomal RNA", at positions 355 to 766 of the family's 1533-position model. The record is from RNAcentral.
UGGGGAAUAUUGCACAAUGGGCGCAAGCCUGAUGCAGCCAUGCCGCGUGUGUGAAGAGGCCUUCGGGUUGUAAAGCACUUUCAGCGAGGAGGAAGGUGGUGAACUUAAUACGUCAUCAAUUGACGUUACUCGCAGAAGAAGCACCGGCGUAACUCCGUGCCAGCAGCCGCGGUAAUACGGAGGGUGCAAGCGUUAAUCGGAAUUACUGGGCGUAAAGCGCACGCAGGCGGUUUGUUAAGUCAGAUGUGAAAUCCCCGGGCUCAACCUGGGAACUGCAUUUGAAACUGGCAAGCUAGAGUCUCGUAGAGGGGGGUAGAAUUCCAGGUGUAGCGGUGAAAUGCGUAGAGAUCUGGAGGAAUACCGGUGGCGAAGGCGGCCCCCUGGACGAAGACUGACGCUCAGGUGCGAAAGCGUGGGG